AACGAACGCUGGCGGCAUGCCUAACACAUGCAAGUCGAACGAGACCUUCGGGUCUAGUGGCGCACGGGUGCGUAACGCGUGGGAACCUGCCCUUAGGUUCGGAAUAACUCCCCGAAAGGGGUGCUAAUACCGGAUAAUGUCUUCGGACCAAAGAUUUAUCGCCUUUGGAUGGGCCCGCGUUGGAUUAGCUAGUUGGUAGGGUAAAAGCCUACCAAGGCGACGAUCCAUAGCUGGUCUGAGAGGAUGAUCAGCCACACUGGGACUGAGACACGGCCCAGACUCCUACGGAAGGCAGCAGUGGGGAAUAUUGGACAAUGGGCGAAAGCCUGAUCCAGCAAUGCCGCGGGAGUGAUGAAGGCCUUAGGGUUGUAAAGCUCUUUUACCCGGGAUGAUAAUGACAGUACCGGGAGAAUAAGCUCCGGCUAACUCCGU
This 432-nucleotide ribosomal RNA is filed under the name uncultured bacterium. RNAcentral's name for it is "partial 16S ribosomal RNA". It matches the Rfam family "Bacterial small subunit ribosomal RNA", at positions 29 to 506 of the family's 1533-position model. The record is from RNAcentral.